GGGGCGUAGGAUUGUCGGUCUUUUUAAAUCCAGCACCACAGCGAAGGAGAAGCUGUCAGAGAUGCAGCGACAGCUGGCCAGGCCAGAGCACAAAUUAAUACAAGAGGUGGAAACAAGAUGGAACAGCACAUUUAAUAUGUUGGAAAGGUUGUUUAAGGAGAGAGAGCCACUGGGGGCAGCUCUGGCCACCCUCCAUACAGACCUUCCUCCACUCACCUCAGAGGACUACCAGGCCAUACACCACUGCUUGAGCAUUCUUUCACCGUUUCAAGAGGCCACAGUUGAGCUUUCGACAGAAAAACGAGUGUCAGCAUCCAAAGUCAUUCCCAUGGUCAAAAUGCUGAAACAUUACAUCUCAAGCAGGUGUGGUCAGAUCACACACCCACUUGGUGAAAAACUGGCCACUAACUUGAAGAACAAUCUCCAUGAGAGGUUUUCAGCUCUGGAGAAGGUCACUGCUCUGUCAAUGGCAACCUUGUUGGACCCAAGGUUUAAAGAGCUGGGGUUCUGCAGCCAAGGCUCUGCCCACACGGCCAUAGAGCGACUCACUAAAGAGUGUGCUGCAACAAUGCAGGCGCUACUUCCAGAGGCACAGCCACAGUCGCCACCUAGAGAAGGUCCUUCAAGUUAGCAGGAAGAUGGUGGUCUCUGGGCCCUGCUGGACAGGCAUGUGGGGGUUCAGCAGCAGGUGACCAGCACAACUGCCAGUGCAACAGUGGAGGUUCAGAGGUACUUAAAGGAACCUCACAUCCCAAGGACUCAGGACCCACUGAGAUACUGGGUUACCCACAAGGUUUUAUACCCACAUCUCUACAAGCUGGCAAUGAAGUUUUUAUGCACACCAGCUUCAUCUGUGCCUUGUGAGAGGAUCUUCUCCAAGGCUGGCGAAAUCGUCAGCCAAAGACGAAACAGGCUGAAGCCCAGCACAGUGGAGAAAAUUCUGUUUUUAAAUAAAAAUCUAUAACAUGUA
This is a long non-coding RNA of Oryzias latipes (Japanese medaka), 970 nucleotides long. RefSeq lists it as uncharacterized. Lineage: Eukaryota; Metazoa; Chordata; Actinopteri; Beloniformes; Adrianichthyidae. The record is from RefSeq and is a predicted model, not a curated record.